This 2325-nucleotide long non-coding RNA is filed under the name Pongo abelii (Sumatran orangutan). RNAcentral's name for it is "lincRNA". Lineage: Eukaryota; Metazoa; Chordata; Mammalia; Primates; Hominidae. The record is from RNAcentral.
CACUCAGAGAGAAACAAUGCAUUUUAUCAUAGGGCCGGACAGCUACAUGCACAAGAUGCUACCUGCAGAGAUUGGUUUUUGCCCGGAUGUGCAGGAGAGAUGCACAGAGAGGAAGAAAUGCAUACAUGUGUGCAGGUUUUGGCAUGUGCACAAGAAGCCUGGAAGGAUUUUCUUUGGAUCUACAGUCAAAAUGGAUUUCCAAGAAGAAGCUGUCUGAACACACACCUCUUCCCUGUGCUACAUACGGCCCCAUCUCUGCCAGCCGGGUUGUCAGGAAAGUGAUCAGCACUGGCUUCAACUCUGGCUAGAGCUCUUUGGCCAAUGUGAUGGGCAGAAAACUGGAAUGAGGACAGAAAAGCACCUCAGAGGUUUGAAGAGUCGAGUCUCUCACCACCUUGCUAUAGGUUUUCUGAAUACUUCUGAGUGUAGGAGCAUGUUUUCUCAACAGGCAAGUCAGGACCUGCUAAGAUAAAUCAUGGCAGUAAGCUCAAGCCAGUGUUAGUAUUUACCAUUGAUCGGCCACCAAGUGCUUGCUAUGUGCCAUGCCUUGUGCUAAGCACUAUCUCAUUUAAUAUUUACAGCAGUCUUAUGAGGUAGAUGCUACUGUUAUCUCCAUUUUACAGAUGGGGAAACCGAGGCACAAAGUUCCACAGCUGGUGACUUGCGGAAUAGGAAUUCAACCACUGGAGAGUCUGGCUGGAGUUUUUUUGUGGCAGGAGAAACUAUGCUGUUGAAAUUUGCCUUGGGUAACCAUCAUGGUGGUCACAAAACCACUUCUACGGCUUGCCUUGACCUAGCAGGAAUGAAGAUAUAAAGAAAGAAUGAGCGCAUCGUGGUUAUGAUGGGAUGAUGAUGAUGUCUGUUGUGUUGUAUGGUGUCAGUUUCUGUAAUGCCUUUCUAUUUCAAUCAAGGCUAUUAUCUUUUCCUCUCUUUUAGUGAAGUUUCCUAGAAGUAGAAAAUGGGAGUGUAUGAGGCAUCUCAGAGUUUUCAGCUGAACUGAAGGGUCUGAUGGUAAUUUUACCCCCAAAUCCCUGAGAGAAAAGUAGGGAGUCCCUGCUUCAGCUCUGCUCAGAAGAGCCCCCCGCACAUGGUGGUUUCUGUGUCACUAGACUGGUUAGGUUAACCAAAUGCGUCUUCUAAAUACCCAACUUUUAAUAGAAAACUUCUGUGGCUUGGAUUAUUAAAGUCAUAACAUGCUUAUUUAAUUGUGUUUCAAGUCCAUCUAUCUUUUUUGAGUCUAAGGAAGACUCACUCGAUCAGAAGGAGUAGAGGGAAGAAGAUUAACACAUGAUUUUCUUUUUCCCCUUUUUCUUUUAACUUAGCCUGAGACUUAUUUGAAUGCCUGUUUCAUAUGGAGCUUUUAAGUAUAACAGUUGUGAGUGAAAUUGCCCCUUUUAUUUUCAAGCGCUCCGAGUUUGCUUCUGGAUGGAAGGGGAAGAUGGACUAGAGCUGAUACCCCCUGCACUCUGGUGAAGAAAUGCACCCUAAGGCCAGAAAAUAGUACAAACCCAUCUGGCUGCAACAGCCCAGCAGCAUGAAUAUCAAAGUCACGUAGUAGAGCCAGAGAGAAAUUUGCCCUGGGCCUAAUAUUCAGAAGGCUUUCCAAUUCAGACUCGAUGUUAUUGCCAAGUCAGUGUGUUUGGGAGAAAUCAGAAGCCAACACACUAGAAAAGUUGCAGGAGAUUCCUAGGGAACCCACAAAGUCAGUUCCUUGCCAGAAACCUGCUCCUCCAGAUGAAUCCAGUGCAUCGGGUGGGCUCAGAUGCACAGGUGGUGCAGGCAGACCUCUACUGAGAAGAACAACAGUGGAAGGCAGAUGAAACUCCCAUUUUGGAGUCUGAGAGCCAUGCGGGCCCACCCCAGUUACGUCUACCCCUGGUCAGUGACCAGAGAAUCCUUUAGCAGCAACAGCAGGGAUGUUUAUUUCACUGGUAUGUAUAAAGCGACUGAUUGAAAACAAGCUGUACGCCCAACAACUUGGAACUGAUUAAAUGAUUUUUGGUUCAGCCGCACAGUGGAAUAUCAUGCGGCCAUUAAGAAUAAAUCAAAAAUCCUAUACUUUCCAUAUUCAACUUUAGACUGCAAACAACUGAACAACACCUUCAUAAUUAGGCUUCCUCAGAUUAGAACGUGAAGUCAAGUCAACGUGUGUCAGAAUGUUAACAGCAGCUAACUCUUGGUUGUGCUGUUAUGAGUAACUUGUAUUAUUUUUCAGUUUUUUUUCCCAUUCCUAAUGUGCAAAUGUACUAUUUUUAUUGUAAAAAAAUACACAUUUGUAAAGAGCAAUAACAUAAAUCUCUGCACAGGAAAAUUGGAAGGAAAUCA